Long non-coding RNA from Electrophorus electricus (electric eel), 717 nucleotides. RefSeq lists it as uncharacterized. NCBI's taxonomy places the organism in Eukaryota, Metazoa, Chordata, Actinopteri, Gymnotiformes, Gymnotidae. The record is from RefSeq and is a predicted model, not a curated record.
UUCACGAGACAACAAAGUGGUGGGAAAAAAAGUGACUCUGUUCUUUGGACUGAAUUAUGGAGCAGUCACAGGCAGCGUAUACAUCAGACCAGUGAAAAAUGGCAAAAAAUGAAUGAACCAGGAUUUUUCAGCUCUGCCAUCCCAACACAACAGAGGACACAGAGAAUAUGUUAGUCACAACAUUAUACAGGAGGGGAGAAAAACAGGAACCACAAUGCUGAGUGAUGAAGAUGAAGCCCUGAAGAAGAGAAUGUUCCCCUGCAGAAAAUUGGUUUAAUUAAUAGCACAUUUUACAUAAUGAUUACAGUGUAAUUGCGCCGACUAGCAGAGUGUCAUUAAAUAUAUCCUUGCUCCUUUACAACACCCUCUGGCGAAAAAUAAUGAGUUACAUUGGAAAUCACUAUGCAACAGGUUCAUAAAUAACAUUUAAGCCCAUACAAGGCAAGUACUUAUAAAUAAUAAAUAUUUGCCUUUUGUAAUUGAACAAAAAAUGACUGCCUCUUCUUUUCCUGGGCAUGCUGCUUUGUCCCAUUAUGGCCGGUGAAAGGAGAAUUUUCUCAUUUUUUCUCCCCUUGUAAGUGGUGAAUAAUUUAUUUCACGGCUAAUAGUCAACACUGUCAAUGCGGGGUGUUUAAAAUAUACCUGUGUCCAGAUAAAUGUCAUGACGGCGGGGGAAGUGAUUAUUCCCUGCUUCCAGAUAUUUUGUUGGAUGCAGGC